AGCAGUCGCCGCGGUAAAACGGAGGGUGCAAGCGUUAAUCGGAAUUACUGGGCGUAAAGCGCACGCAGGCGGUCUGACAAGUCAGAUGUGAAAUCCCCGGGCUUAACCUGGGAACUGCAUUUGAAACUGUCAGGCUGGAGUCUUGUAGAGGGGGGUGGAAUUCCAGGUGUAGCGGUGAAAUGCGUAGAGAUCUGGAGGAAUACCGGUGGCGAAGGCGGCCCCCUGGACAAAGACUGACGCUCAGGUGCGAAAGCGUGGGGAGCAAACAGGAUUAGAUACCCCAGUAGUCCCUGUCUCUUAUAU
Molecule: ribosomal RNA, 303 nt
Filed under: uncultured bacterium
Lineage: Bacteria
Description: partial 16S ribosomal RNA
Rfam family: Bacterial small subunit ribosomal RNA
Source: RNAcentral